CCCUCCUUUGAAACUUUAAGAAGUUUCACAGUCCAGAAUCUGAGUGGUAGAUUGUUUCAUCUCACUUAACACAUUUCUUAGUCCUGGUAAUAGAUCAGUCCAGUUAAAGUCAUUUUAGAAGGCGGGACUGUGGGGACCUGAAAUUGGCCACCCCAAGAUAUGUCUCUUUGGCAUCAGGAUUAUUUGAGGCUGAUUGAUUUUGAUAAACUGGGACAGGGAAGGAGGCUCUGAGGAAUGGAAUUUGCCCUUCGUUAGGACACAUUUACAUUUGUAAGGUAAAUCUCUAUCUGCAAAAGGUGCCCCCACUCUCUGUACCAGGAAGAUGAAAGGAGAUGAUCUUCUCUCUAGAAACUCUUAAUCAAUACCAAAGGCAAGGACUUAAAUCUGCAUUUUAUUGUGCUUCUCUGGUAACCUCCUGUAACUGACUUCCCUCCCCCUCCAACGUUGGCAUUUCUUUAAGGAUUAAGCAUCUUUCCUUAGGCUAGGAACUGAUUGUUGCGCUCACUUGUGACCGCCCAGCUCCAGAGGAUAGACUUUCCUCCUGCUACGCCCACUGAGAUAGCAGACCACUACCUGCUGUGUCCAUCAAGCACUGUGCUGACAGGGCAAUCUUGUGACUAUUGUGGGAGCGACAUUUCAAUCACAUGUGAAACACCCCAUUUAGGGGUAUCUAACCACUCUGUGCACCCCAGUUCUUCGGUGCCCUUUCUUCCUUUGGGAAGAAAGGCCCUGGGCCAUGGUUCCUCAUAAAGCUUUGUUUAAUUUUCUCUUGCUAUUCUUUCUCAUGUGAAUUUAAUUCAUUCUCCGGCCAGAUGAACCCCCAUUUGGGAAGAGGAAAUGUCUUCCUCCCCUACACUAACUUCCUGUCUCAGACACCCUAACUUCUUAGGUUUGUUGUAACAAUUCCUCUUUGCCUCUGAGUUCUUAUGUAACACUCUCCUUUGCAUGUCUGAUGUCAUGGGUAAAAUUCCACCUGGCAUCUCUGGCUUUGUGUGUCACACUCCCUAUGGUGUCUCUGACUUGGUCUGUCACACUCCUCCUGGUACCUGUGACUUCAUGUGUCACACUUCCCCUUGUUUCUCUGACUACAUGUGUCACAAUCUCCCUGCCCUCUUUACCAUCAUAUGUAACACUCCCAAUUGUAUCUUUGACUUGUGUCACACUUUGUGUGGCGUCUCUGACUUCGUGUGACACUCCACCUGGUUUCUCUUACAUCGUGUGUAAUACUCCACAUGGCAUCUUUGACUUCAUGCUUAACACACCUCCUGAUGUAUAUGUCAUCAUGUGUAACACUUCUCUUUUAUUCUCUGACUUCAUGUGCGACACUCCACCUAUCUUCUCUGACUUAGUGUGUACAAUUCUGUGGCAUCUAUGACUUCCUCUUUCACACACUCCAUAAUGUCUCUAACUUCCUGUGCCACACUGCCCCUGGCAUUUCUGAAUUCGUGUGUCACACUCCCCUGUUUUCUCAGACUUCAUGUAUAAUAAUCCCCCUUUUGUUUCUGAGUGUGUGUUACACUCCCGCUGGCAUCUCUCACUUUGUUUAUAACAGUCCACCUGGCAUCUCUGUCUACGUGGAUCGCAAUCCCUCUGGCAUCUAUGAAUUUGUGUGUUACACUCCCCCUUGAGUCUGUGACUUUUUGUAUCACAAUUCCCCAGGUAUCUUUGACUUUGUGUAUAACAAUCCACAUGCCAUCUCUGAGGUCAUGAGUCACACUCUGCCUGGCAUCCCUGACUUUGUGUAUCACACGCUCCCUGGUGCCUCUGACUUUGCAUGUAACACAACCUGUGGUGCCUCUGACUCCAUGUGUCACACUCCCUUGGUGUCUCUGAGUAUCUGUGUCACAUUCCCCUGUCAUCUAUAACAUCAUAUGUAAGAAUGCCACUGGCUUCUCAGAGUUUGUGUAUAACACUCCACGUGGCACCUCCAACUUUUUGUUUGACACUCUCCCUGUUUCCUUUGGCUUUUUGCUUAACACCACCCAUUGGCAUCUUUGACUUUGUGCAUCACAUGCUCCCUGUUGUCUCAUACUUCAUGUGUCACACUCCCCUAUGUCAUCUCUGACUGCCUGUGUAUCUUUCCCUGAUGCAUCUCUGAGUCUGAGUCCCACUAUACAUGUCAUCUUUGAUUUCAUGUGUCACAUUCCCUGUGGAAUCUCUGGCAUCCUGUGGAACACUUGCGCUGGUGUCUCUGAUUCAUGUGUAACACUCCCCUUGUAGUCAGUGACUUUUCUGAAACACUCCAGCUGUUGUCUCUGACUCUGUGCCUCACACUCACUAUGGCAUCACUGACUCCAUGUGUCACACCCCAAAUUUCAAAUCUGACUUUGGGUCUCACACACCCGAUGUUGUCUGUCAUUGUGUGAUACAAUACCCCUCUCAUCUCUGACAUCAUGUAUAAAACUCCCCCUGGAGUCUUUGAUUUCAUGUGUCACAUUCCCCAUGUUGUAUCUGACUUCGUGUGUCACUCUCCUGCUUGUGUCUCUGACUUAAUGUGUAACAUUCUUAACCUGUCUCAUACUUUAAGUUUCACACUCUACCUAUUGUCUCUGACUUCGUGUGUCACAUUCUGUGGAGUCUCUCUGAGUUCCUGCAUAACACUCCCCCUGGCGUCUCUGACUUUGUGUGUAACUCUCCUGAUGUCAUCUCUGAUAUUGUGUGUUAAACACUCCCUGGCGUCUUUUACUUGGGGCACCAAAUUCCUCUUGGCGCCUCUGACUUCAUGUUUCACACUCCCCCUGGCGUCUCUCACUUCAUGUGUUAUACUCUCACUGGCAUCUCAGAAUUCAUGUGUAACACUCCAUGUUAUGUCUCUGCCUUCAUGUGUCAAUGAUGCCUAGCAUCUCGGACUGCAUGUGUAACACUCACCAUGGCAUCUCUGAGUUCCUUUGUAAGACUCCCUCUGGUGUCUAUGACUUCUUGUGUAACAAACCUGGAAUCUUUCACUGGGUGUUUAACACUCCCCCAGGCAUCUCUGAAUUCCUGUAU
RNAcentral lists this long non-coding RNA (2988 nucleotides) under Equus caballus (horse). Its description in RNAcentral is "lncRNA (ENSECAG00000054692.1)". Lineage: Eukaryota; Metazoa; Chordata; Mammalia; Perissodactyla; Equidae. The record is from RNAcentral.